CCAGUCGGCCGGACAGCUGCUGCCACAAGUGCCGAAAGGCCGUGGUGGAGGAAAGUCCGGGCUCCGAGGAAACACGGUGCCGGGUAACGCCCGGCGGAGGCGACUCUAGGGAAAGUGCCACAGAAAGCAAACCGCCCCGAUGUGCAGGCUUGUCUUGCGAGCGGGGUAAGGGUGAAAGGGUGGGGUAAGAGCCCACCGCGCGGGCGGUAACGGCCGCGGCACGGUAAACCCCACCGGGAGCAAGACCGAAUAGGGGCAACGUGGGCGCUUGACGCCCAGGCCGGUUUCCAGGCCAGUUGCCCGGGUUGGUUGCGAGAGGCGUUCGGCAACGGACGUCCCAGAUGAAUAGCUGUCACGUCUGAUGAGGAUCCGUCCUUUUCGGGCCGUACAGAACCCGGCUUACAGGCCGACUGGCACU
Molecule: RNase P RNA, 418 nt
Filed under: Paracoccaceae bacterium
Lineage: Bacteria; Pseudomonadati; Pseudomonadota; Alphaproteobacteria; Rhodobacterales; Paracoccaceae
Description: Rhodobacteraceae bacterium (seawater metagenome) RNase P RNA component class A
Rfam family: Bacterial RNase P class A
About the family: Ribonuclease P (RNase P) is a ubiquitous endoribonuclease, found in archaea, bacteria and eukarya as well as chloroplasts and mitochondria. Its best characterised activity is the generation of mature 5'-ends of tRNAs by cleaving the 5'-leader elements of precursor-tRNAs.
Source: RNAcentral